Molecule: ribosomal RNA, 376 nt
Filed under: uncultured bacterium
Lineage: Bacteria
Description: bacterial SSU rRNA
Rfam family: Bacterial small subunit ribosomal RNA
Source: RNAcentral
UACGAAGGGUGCAAGCGUUACUCGGAAUUACUGGGCGUAAAGCGUGCGUAGGUGGUCGUUUAAGUCCGUUGUGAAAGCCCUGGGCUCAACCUGGGAACUGCAGUGGAUACUGGACGACUAGAGUGUGGUAGAGGGUAGCGGAAUUCCUGGUGUAGCAGUGAAAUGCGUAGAGAUCAGGAGGAACAUCCAUGGCGAAGGCAGCUACCUGGACCAACACUGACACUGAGGCACGAAAGCGUGGGGAGCAAACAGGAUUAGAUACCCUGGUAGUCCACGCCCUAAACGAUGCGAACUGGAUGUUGGGUGCAAUUUGGCACGCAGUAUCGAAGCUAACGCGUUAAGUUCGCCGCCUGGGGAGUACGGUCGCAAGACUGAA